Molecule: ribosomal RNA, 428 nt
Filed under: uncultured bacterium
Lineage: Bacteria
Description: bacterial SSU rRNA
Rfam family: Bacterial small subunit ribosomal RNA
Source: RNAcentral
UGGGGAAUCUUCCGCAAUGGGCGCAAGCCUGACGGAGCAACGCCGCGUGAAUGAAGAAGGCCUUCGGGUCGUAAAGUUCUGUCUUUAGGGACGAAUGCACGAUUGCGAAUAGUUGUUGUGUUGACGGUACCUGAGGAGGAAGCUCCGGCUAACUACGUGCCAGCAGCCGCGGUAAUACGUAGGGAGCAAGCGUUGUCCGGAAUUACUGGGCGUAAAGGGCGCGUAGGUGGACAUUUAAGUCAGAUGUGAAAACUCUGGGCUCAACUUGGAGAUUGCAUUUGAAACUGGACGUCUUGAGGGUAGGAGAGGAAAGUGGAAUUCCUAGUGUAGCGGUGAAAUGCGUAGAUAUUAGGAGGAACACCAGUGGCGAAGGCGACUUUCUGGACUAUACCUGACACUGAGGCGCGAAAGCGUGGGGAGCGAACGGG